This 877-nucleotide long non-coding RNA is filed under the name Nicotiana benthamiana. RNAcentral's name for it is "long non-coding RNA (NBEN_LNC040298)". The record is from RNAcentral. Lineage: Eukaryota; Viridiplantae; Streptophyta; Magnoliopsida; Solanales; Solanaceae.
AACAUUAUAGAGUAUUAAUUACACAUCUAAUUAUCCAUACCCAGGAUGAACCAUAGUCAAACUAUUAACCAAUAAAUAUUGCACAAGUGUACAUUUACAUAAAAUAAUAAUAUGAGAGCACUCUUAAUAAAUCUAUAAGUAAAUAAACUAUUGUUACAUGCAAUUCUCGUGGAAUCAUUCUAUUUGUUUAUUACACAAAAUUAGCUCCUUCAUUGGGUAUAAAUUCUACCUCUUUUGCACUCUUAGCACACAGCAAUUUUCUAAAAAUCUCAAUCUAUACCUGCAUAGAAGAAUGGCUUCUUUCCAAAAGCAAUAGCUGUGUUCAUGCUCCUCUUCUGGGUCGCUACAGUUGGUGAGUAAUUUUUAUUCCGUUGAACCCAUAGUUUAGCUGUGUUCAUGCUCUUCUUCUGGGUCGCUACAGUUGGUGAGUAAUUUUUAUUGAUAACUCCCUUCACUACGAAUGCAAUGCAUGCACGUUUACAUUACACACUACUACAACCACGCACUUUUCUGAUGGACGUUCUCGUCAAAAUUUAUAGAAAAAUUUACUAAUGCUCUUUUGUUUUUGUUUUUCUUUCACUGAGCCGAGGGUCGAUUGGAAACAGCCUCUCUGCCCUUUCGGGUAGGGGUAAGGCUCGUCUACAUAUUUGAACUCAUUGGUUCUAUGUUCUAAUAUAGCGAAAACUGGAGUUUAAAUUCAAUUUGUAUACAUAUUUAGCGAAUUUCAUAAAACAAAGAGUUUGGACUAAAGCUAGUAGAAUAUUCCGUUGAAUCCAUACGGAAGUCGGAAGAUGGAGCCUAUCAAACCCUGGCUAUCUCAGCCUCUUAUACGGGCCGACCUGUCCACUGCACUUUCACUGAAGCAACAUCCUUGGAC